RNAcentral lists this transfer RNA (75 nucleotides) under Sphingomonas sp. RNAcentral's name for it is "tRNA-Gln". It matches the Rfam family "tRNA". From Rfam's summary of the family: Transfer RNA (tRNA) molecules are approximately 80 nucleotides in length. The record is from RNAcentral. RNAcentral also lists the same sequence under 6 other names. Lineage: Bacteria; Pseudomonadati; Pseudomonadota; Alphaproteobacteria; Sphingomonadales; Sphingomonadaceae.
UGGGGCGUCGCCAAGUGGUAAGGCAGCGGCUUUUGAUGCCGCCAUUCGUAGGUUCGAAUCCUGCCGCCCCAGCCA